GACGAACGCUGGCGGCGUGCUUAACACAUGCAAGUCGAGCGGUAAGGCCCUUCGGGGUACGACGAGCGGCGAACGGGUGAGUAACACGUGGGUGACCUGCCUCUAGCUCUGGGAUAAGCCUGGGAAACUGGGUCUAAUACCGGAUAUGACUCCACGGCGCAUGUUGUGGGGUGGAAAGCCUUGUGUGGCUAGAGAUGGGCCCGCGGCCUAUCAGCUUGUUGGGUGGGGGUGANGGGCCUACCAAGGCGACGACGGGUAGCCGGCCUGAGAGGGCGACCGGCCACACUGGGACUGAGACAC
Molecule: ribosomal RNA, 300 nt
Filed under: uncultured bacterium
Lineage: Bacteria
Description: bacterial SSU rRNA
Rfam family: Bacterial small subunit ribosomal RNA
Source: RNAcentral